RNAcentral lists this ribosomal RNA (432 nucleotides) under uncultured bacterium. RNAcentral describes it as "partial 16S ribosomal RNA". It matches the Rfam family "Bacterial small subunit ribosomal RNA", at positions 29 to 506 of the family's 1533-position model. The record is from RNAcentral.
AACGAACGCUGGCGGCAUGCCUAACACAUGCAAGUCGAACGAGACCUUCGGGUCUAGUGGCGCACGGGUGCGUAACGCGUGGGAACCUGCCCUUAGGUUCGGAAUAACUCCCCGAAAGGGGUGCUAAUACCGGAUAAUGUCUUCGGACCAAAGAUUUAUCGCCUUUGGAUGGGCCCGCGUUGGAUUAGCUAGUUGGUAGGGUAAAAGCCUACCAAGGCGACGAUCCAUAGCUGGUCUGAGAGGAUGAUCAGCCACACUGGGACUGAGACACGGCCCAGACUCGUGCGGGAGGCAGCAGUGGGGAAUAUUGGACAAUGGGCGAAAGCCUGCUCCAGCAAUGCCGCGUGGGUGAUGAAGGCUUUAGGGUUGUAAAGCUCUUUUACCCGGGAUGAUAAUGACAGUACCGGGAGAAUAAGCCCCGGCAAACUCCGU